CGACCGGCGCACGGGUGAGUAACACGUAUCCAACCUGCCGAUAACUCGGGGAUAGCCUUUCGAAAGAAAGAUUAAUAUCCGAUAGCAUAUCAAUCCCGCAUGAGAUCGAUAUUAAAGAAUUUCGGUUAUCGAUGGGGAUGCGUUCCAUUAGUUUGUUGGCGGGGUAACGGCCCACCAAGACUACGAUGGAUAGGGGUUCUGAGAGGAAGGUCCCCCACAUUGGAACUGAGACACGGUCCAA
RNAcentral lists this ribosomal RNA (241 nucleotides) under uncultured bacterium. Its description in RNAcentral is "partial 16S ribosomal RNA". It matches the Rfam family "Bacterial small subunit ribosomal RNA", at positions 92 to 334 of the family's 1533-position model. The record is from RNAcentral.